Molecule: long non-coding RNA, 2297 nt
Organism: Bubalus bubalis (water buffalo)
Lineage: Eukaryota; Metazoa; Chordata; Mammalia; Artiodactyla; Bovidae
Exons: 3
Source: RefSeq, a predicted model, not a curated record
CUGGUAGCUGGAGCUCUGGAUAAAAGCUGAAGACAAGGUGAGCCAUGACCAAAAGGCUAAAGGUUUGUGCUGAGUGAGGAGGGUCAGGGCCUUAGCAGUCAGUGUCUGGAUGGUUAUUAUUGCCCCCCCGGGAGCCUGGUAAGAUGGGAGUGUGCACAGGUGUGUGAGGGUGGAGGGGUCUGGUGUGGUGGUGGGCCCUUUCCAGGAGCCCGCCCAGGAAGCAGGCCUCCGGGUGGGGGCAGUUUCAUCAAAAGCAAACAGAGAGAAAGGGAAGGGAGCCUUCUCUUCCUCCCCUCAACACCCCUGGAGUUUGCAGUGACCACUAACACUAAUGAGGCAGCUGCAGCCCCACCCCACAAGCCUCAGCACAGUCAGAGAAGGAAUUUGCAGAGAUGGCACUGGGACCAGCCAGAAAUCAGCUGUGGUUUUGGAGUCAGAUGGAGAGAAGUUAAAUCCUGGCCUUGCUGCUCCCUGACUGUAUGAACCUCUCUAGGCCUCAGUUUCCCCACUUGCAAAAUGGGAAACAGGCUCCACCUUCGAGAGUUGUCACUUGGAGUGUGUAAGGGGUCCUGAAGAGUGUCCUGAUACAUGGUGGCGGCUGUGGGGACGGGCUCUGGGGGACGGCCCAUUGGGCUAAGGUCCUAGGAGCCCAGAUGUGCACCACGCUGUCAUCCAAGCAGCACCCUGAGGAGCUGGGGGGAGGAGGCAGAAUCUACAAGGGCCCAAGGUAGCCAUGAAGCUGGGUGAGAUGAAGGGUGAGGCCUUCAAGCACAUACACCUGGCUUUGCUCUCCCUCUCACAGCAGCAGGUGCGCCAGGCAAAAGCCCGGGACAAGUGAGGGCAUAGAGACGCUGGUGUCCUGCAGGGUGGGGUGUGCUUUCCGCCCUGCUUCUCUGACUGACCUGGCCUCCCUCUCCCAAGCCCCAAGGCAGCAAGCUGGAGAGAGAGUCAAAUCUGAGUUGUCUGGAGUUAGGAAGAAUUCAAAGAGAGCACACAGAAAACCCAAAGCGCCAACAAUCAAGGCUCCUUAUCUUGGCUCAGGCCUCUUUCCCUCCCCAGGGCCUCUCAUGGAUACAGGGCCAGUCCACUGGGCACUUCCUCUGUGCCAGGUGUUAAAGCGAGAGUUGGGAGGCACUGGUGAGUAAGUGAGGUGGACCCCUGACUACCGAAGUUUCCCUUCCAGACCCGAGAGCUGCUAUUGGACAGUCAGCCCCAGUGAGGUGUGGGAAAGGCUGAGAUAGAGAACAGCGGGGGUUGGGGGAGAAAAGGGGUUCAGGGUGGAGGGCUGAUGGUUCGGGGUUGAGGCCAUGCUAGCUCAAGAUUCUGAUGGAGCUCAGCUUGACUCCUCUCAGCCCCAACCCUGUCCCAUGCAGACCGACUGUUGAGUCACUGGAGCUCAGAGAAGGACAAGGCACCCAGGCAGCCCCCGGGUGCUGGGGUCCACAGACAAGUAAACCUGGGUUGCCAUAUCGUGGGCUGCAGGGGGUCAGCACUGAGUCAUAAAAGGCCCACAGAGAACCUGGCAGCUGAGAAUGAGUGUCUGUGGGAUCCUCAGGGAAACUCCUCUUUCCUGAACCUUAGUUUCUUCAUCUAGAAGAGAAAACUAAACACGGUAAGUACACCGUUGAAGGACUGACCUGCACCCUGGGGAAGAGCACAGGAGGAGCUGGAGGUGGAGAAGAGUGAGGGAUGGAGAAGCCAAACUUCAGCUGGGAAACAGGACACAAGGCAGGAUGACUUGCUGGAGGGUGGAGGUGCCUUUGGAAGUGCUGGACCAAAGUUCAGGAACCAGCUGGAGGAGGGAUGUGGGACCUUCGUUUGCCGACCAGACAUUGAGCCCAUACCCGCCUGCAUCGGAAGGUGAAGUCAACCACUAGACCACCAGGGAAGUCCCUGGACUUAAAGAAGGAACCAAGAAGGAAGAAAAAGUUUAUUCAUACCGAACAGUUACAUGUACCUAUAUGUUUCUGCCUGACUCUGACUGGGACACUAAAGUCAGGAAGACUUCUUGGAAGAAGGGAGGUCUACAUUCAGCUUUUGAGAGAGAGAGAGGAAAAAAAAAAAAAAAGCGGCAAAGAAUGUCAUAGUACAUUUCAGAGAGACCCCUUAAAAUAAUAUCCUAAACUAGGAAUUGUUGAGGUUUGCUGUGUGAUCUUUCUUUCACUAUUUAGAAUAUGGGUUCUAUGGCUUUUUUCUUUCUUUCUAUUUUUACAUUUUGGUUAGGUGAAAGUUUCAACUGUGAAAGCUCCGUUUAAAAAGGAACGUAAUACUAAUCAAGAUUUACUAAAACCAAACAA